This 505-nucleotide ribosomal RNA is filed under the name uncultured Rhodocyclaceae bacterium. RNAcentral describes it as "bacterial SSU rRNA". It matches the Rfam family "Bacterial small subunit ribosomal RNA", at positions 8 to 507 of the family's 1533-position model. The record is from RNAcentral. Lineage: Bacteria; Pseudomonadati; Pseudomonadota; Betaproteobacteria; Rhodocyclales; Rhodocyclaceae.
AGAGUUUGAUCCUGGCUCAGAUUGAACGCUGGCGGCAUGCCUUACACAUGCAAGUCGAACGGCAGCACGGGAGCUUGCUCCUGGUGGCGAGUGGCGAACGGGUGAGUAAUGCAUCGGAACGUGCCCUGAAGUGGGGGAUAACGUAGCGAAAGUUACGCUAAUACCGCAUAUUCUGUGAGCAGGAAAGCAGGGGAUCUUCGGACCUUGCGCUUUUGGAGCGGCCGAUGUCGGAUUAGCUAGUUGGUGGGGUAAAGGCCCACCAAGGCGACGAUCCGUAGCGGGUCUGAGAGGAUGAUCCGCCACACUGGAACUGAGACACGGUCCAGACUCCUACGGGAGGCAGCAGUGGGGAAUUUUGGACAAUGGGCGCAAGCCUGAUCCAGCCAUGCCGCGUGAGUGAAGAAGGCCUUCGGGUUGUAAAGCUCUUUCGGUGGGGAAGAAAUUGCUUGGGUUAAUACCCUGAGUAGAUGACGGUACCCGCAUAAGAAGCACCGGCUAAUACGUG